GUACACGCUGUGACUAGCAUAUCAAUAAGCGGAGGAAAAGAAACUAACAAGGAUUCCCCUAGUAACGGCGAGUGAAGCGGGAAGAGCUCAAAUUUGAAAUCUUAAAGGGUUUCCCUUUACGAAUUGUAGUUUAAAGAAGUGUUUUCUGUUGAGGUUUUGGUAAAAGUUCUUUGGAAUAGGACAUCAUAGAGGGUGAGAAUCCCGUAUUUGACCUUUACUUUCAACUUUGUGAUACACUUUCAAAGAGUCGGAUUGUUUGGGAAUGCAGUCCAAAAUGGGUGGUAAAUUUCAUCUAAAGCUAAAUAUUGGCGAGAGACCGAUAGCGAACAAGUACCGUGAGGGAAAGAUGAAAAGAACUUUGAAAAGAGAGUUAAACAGUACGUGAAAUUGUCAAAAGGGAAGCGUUUGACACCAGUGUUGUUUUUCUGAAAAUCAAUUAAAGAACUGUUUAUGCUAAGUUGUUUAGACUUUAUCAGCUAACUGUUUAGUUUUGAGCUUUUCCUUAAUGCACUUUUCAGUUAACAAGUCAACAUCAAUUUCUUUUGCUGUAAAAAAGCUUGAGGAAGGUGGCUUGAGAUUCGUCUUAAGUGUUUAUAGCCUCUUGCCUAUGCAGUCGGAGAGAUUGAGGUCUGCAGCGUAGAUCCUUCGGGGCUAAAUGCAUUUGUGCUAAGUUAUAGCAUUUUAUAGACAACUUGUUGACUAUGAUUUGUCUUGUAGCUUACUCGCUUAUGUUAUUUUACCUACGCUUAGGAUGUUGAGUCGUAGAGCACGCAG
RNAcentral lists this ribosomal RNA (774 nucleotides) under uncultured Neocallimastigales. RNAcentral describes it as "partial large subunit ribosomal RNA". It matches the Rfam family "Eukaryotic large subunit ribosomal RNA", at positions 22 to 628 of the family's 3401-position model. Lineage: Eukaryota; Fungi; Neocallimastigomycota; Neocallimastigomycetes; Neocallimastigales. The record is from RNAcentral.